GAGAAUGACGACGAAAAUAGGAUGCGUUAAGUCAUGUAGUCUGAGAAGGAGAAAGCUGACCACAAACAGGGCCACGAAUAAACCGUGCAUUCUCGUUUUGAGAACGAGGGUGCCAAUACCGAAAAAAAGAAUAAACAGCAGCGAAAAUACCAGAUAGAGUACCGAGAACGAUCCUGUCGGAAAUGGCAGGUGAGUCGACGGAGGAACGAGCAGAAUCAUUACGAUGAGGAGUAAAAAGGUGGUGAUCGUU
RNAcentral lists this unclassified non-coding RNA (250 nucleotides) under plant metagenome. RNAcentral describes it as "partial contains 5.8S ribosomal RNA, internal transcribed spacer 2, and large subunit ribosomal RNA". The record is from RNAcentral.